This 7406-nucleotide long non-coding RNA is filed under the name Malus domestica (apple). Its description in RNAcentral is "long non-coding RNA (MDOM_LNC014275)". The record is from RNAcentral. Lineage: Eukaryota; Viridiplantae; Streptophyta; Magnoliopsida; Rosales; Rosaceae.
AGCAACAACAACUCUGACAAGAUGCAGUUUGGCAUCCGCUUCCUUGUUAAACUCAUCCACGGAGAAACGGGCAGGAGCCCUAUUCACGGGAUGAUCCACAUAAUAAGGAGAUUGACGGGGAGGAGGAGGGGAGACACCGUAAGUUCGCGGGUACUAUAACAAAAGUCCGUAGUGACCACACACAACUAGACAAUCCUUGGCAAAACGAAAAAAAGAAAAAGAAAAAAAGAAGCAAUACCUUGGUAUCCAGGGCCACGCAUUAAAAUUGGACCUCUAUCAGAAGCAGCAGUGCUUGCAAUUAUAGAAUCUGCUACAAAGUAUGCAUCUGCACUUAGAAAACAUGAUACAACAACAACCAAGUUUUAUCCUACUAAGUCGGUUCGGCGAUGAGAAUCCUAAACGCCAAUAAGUGGGGCGCCUGUAUUAGUACACUUGUGUUGAAUGGAGAAUAUUUUUUCACGUGCAUUGUCUGGCUAACAUACUCAAUUUGAUAGUUAAAGGAUGAAUUGGAUUUGAUUAGGGAUAGUAUUAAUUUGAUAGUUAAGGAUGAACUGGACAUGAAGAGGGAUAGUAUUGAGACUAUUCUAAAUAGUGUUGCAUAUUGGUUUGGGAUAGCAAAAAGAGAGGAAAAUUUUGUUGAGAUGACUCAACAAAUGAGAAUUAAUUUCUAUAGGAAGUUAGUCCUUGACAGCAAAACUAGACUAGGUGGUAUAUAAGGAUGUAUUUCCUCGUUUAAAGCAGCUUGAGCCCUCAUAUAAUAAAAAGAAGAUUGGGUGAAGACCUAAUAUGGUGGACGGCAAGAAGUUUGGUUGUGUGUUUGUUGUUAUAGUCAAAACUAAAUUUGUAAUAAAAUAACAAGCUAAUUUAACAUAUAUAUAUAUAUAUAUAUAUAUAUAUAUCGUCGUACCCAGUGCACAAGGCUCCCGCUUUACGCAGGGUCUGGGAGAGGUGAAUGUCGGCUAGCCUUACCCCCAUUUAUGGAGAGGCUGCUCCCAAAUAUAUAUAUAUAGCAUAAAACAGUUACCUUCCACUUCCAUAAAGUUUACCAGCCUCAUUGUUGGAAGCUAAACACUUCCUGGAGUCGAGGGAUCGAAGACAGCAAGGAGCUCCCGAGCAUGGCUGCUAUCUGCAUCGAAGAAGAAAGAAGAAAUGAAGGGUUAAAGCCUCCAACGGCUAGUUUUUGUUUAAAUAUAUGUGUGAGUGUGUGAGUGACAAGUGUACACUUCAGAUUAUAUCACUUAAAACCCAAAAUGAAGGGCUAGGAUUUAAUAUGGAGUAGUGAGGCUAAAAUAGUUGUUUAGGUUUCUUGUCAAUCACUCUUUAAAACAAGUAUGGGUCAUGGCAAUGCACCAUACCCUACUACAAUUUCCCUAACUUAAUGAAAUCAAUGCUGCUGCAUUUUGCACAGCCUUGAAGCCCUAAAAUACACUCCAAAAAGUCAUCUCCUUCUCUGCCAUUUUUAACCCUAAGAAACUAAUCCAAACAAAACAACCAAAAACACCAAAAAACAAACAAACUUUAUAUGGCCUCAGAGCCUAGUUUAUGAUCUUACAACUUUCUGGGCGUAAUCUGUGCAAGUUGAGAUCUUUGGGAGCACCUAUGAAGUGUCCUCAACAACAACAACCAACAAACAACCCUGCAAAUGAAGGGAUCCAGCCGUAGCAGUGAGCUAAAAGCUCCAAUCUUUGAUGGGGAGAACUACGACUUUUGGAGAAUACGAAUGACAACCAUUUUCAAGUCCUAUGAUCUAUGGGAUAUGGUUCAAUACGGGUAUGAACUACCUGAGAUGGAGGUCGAUGCUCUAGAGGAAGACCUCACAGAAACACAACUCAAAACACUGAAGCAGAACCGGAUAGAGGAUGCUAGAGCACUUGGAAUCAUCCAAGGUGCUGUCUCAAACACCAUUUUCCUAAGGAUAGCAAAUGAAGAGAGUGCAAAUGGAGCUUGGGAAGUUUUACAACAAGAGUACAGAGGAGACACCAAAGUCAGAAAAGUAAAACUUCAAUCCCUUAGAAGAGAUUUCGAGUAUACAAGAAUGAGGGAGAAUGAGUUGUUAAAAGACUACUUUACUAGGCUGUUUGAUAUUGUAAACAAGAUGAAAACAUAUGGUGAGGAAUUGCCUAAUGAAAGAAUUGUCCAGAAAAUGUUGAUUAGUUUGACUAAACCCUAUGAUUCAAUAGUGAGUGUCAUUGAAGAAACCAAAGACACUGAAACUCUUAGUGUGCAAGAUGUGAUGACAUCUUUAAGAGCUUUUGACCAAAUGCUUGAGAGACAUGCUGAUUUUGCACCUGAGAAAGCUUUUCAAUCACUCAAUGUUGGAUCUAGUAGUCAAGCUAGUGCAAGCAAACAAAAACCACAGUGGAAGGGCAAGAUCAAGAAAUAUGAAGGAAAUGGGUAUCAAAACUCUAGACCUACCUAAGGCAGCUACUCAAAUGAAGGUCCAAGAACCAAGCAAGAUGAGGUGUGGUACAUUGACAAUGGCUGCAGCAAUCACAUAACUGCACAUGAGUCAUUACUUAUUGAUAUUGACACAAACUUCACUGGAAAAGUGAAAAUGGGAGAUGUAAACAUUGUCAAAGCCAUUAGAAGAGGAACUCUGGUCAUUAACACCAAGAAAUGAAAAAUAUGCAUAAGGGAGGUGAUGCUAGUGCUUGGAUUGGAUGAGAAUCUACUUAGUAUGGAUCAAAUGAUAAAUCAUGGCUAUUUCCUACUCUUUGGGGGAACUGUGGUUGAGAUCUAUGAUGAUAGGUCCCUAUCAAACCUAAUGACUAGAGUGGAAAUGAAAAACAGAAGCUUCUCACUUAUGUUGAAGUACCUAGAGGAAAUGGCAAGAAAAGCAAGUGUGACAGGUUCUAUGAAGCUAUGGCACAAGAGGCUUGGUCAUUUAAACAUGACAAGCCUACAAAAUCUACAAAAGUAUGAAAUGGUGCAAGGUAUACCAAAGAUGGAUCAAUGCAAUGAAACCUGUGAAGGGUGUGUAUUUGGCAAGCAUCACAAAGAUCCAUUUGAAGCUGGAAAGGCUUGGAGAGCAACAAAGCCACUCGAAUUGAUUCACAUGGAUGUGUGUGGACCAAUGCAAACAACAACAAUUAGUGGAAAUAGGUAUUUCCUAACCUUCAUUGAUGACCACACAUGGAUAUGUUGGGUGUAUUUCAUGAGGUUCAAGUCUGAGGUAUUCACAAUAUUCAAGAAGUUCAAGGCAAUGGUGGAAUUACAAAGUGGAUAUCAAAUCAAAAGAUUAAGAAGUGAUAGGGGAGGCAAGUACACUUCACAUGAGUUCAAUGCAUUAUGUGAAAAUGUGGGGUUGGAGAAGCAACUUACUGUGGCAUAUUAACCACAACAAAAUAGGAUUGUAGAAAGGAAGAAUAGGACAAUAGUCGAAAUAGCUAAGUCUAUGAUGCAUGAGAAGAACAUGCCCUAUACAUUUGGGGGUAAAGUUGUGAACACCUCAGUGUACCUAUUGAAUAGAUGCCCUACUAAAGCACUGGAUAAAAAGACAUCAUUUGAAGUGUUCAGUGGAAGGAAGCCUUCUGUGAAGCAUCUGAUAGUGUUUGGCUCAAUGUGCUACACCCACAUCCCUCAACAACUAAGGCAGUAGUUGGAGAAAUCAAGUAAUAAUGGUGUUUUUGUGGGUUAUAAAACCAGUGAGAAAGGGUAUAGAGUUUACAAUUUGUCAACUUAGAAGAUAAUCCUAUCAAGGGAUGUUAUCUUUGAUGAAGACUUUACAUGGAACUGGGAAACAAGGGUAGAAGAGAAGGACAGUGUUUCUCUACAACUUGACCUCAACAAAAGGCAAACAAGAGAGCCUAUGGAGACCUCAGUUAAAGAAAAAGUCAUAGAGAAUGGGGACAUACAAGGGACUCCACAGCAAGCAAGCAUGAGUCCACAACCGAGUCAAUCACAGAUAACAACUCCAAGUUCAACUCUAGUGAGGUUGAGAAGCUUGGAUGAGAUUUAUGCUACUUGUAAAUACUGUGUAAUGGAACCAGACACAUAUGAAUAAGUUAAGAAAGACAAAGCUUGGAAGAAAACAAUGAAGGAAGAACUUGAAAUGAUUGAGAAAAAUGACAUUUGGGAACUUGUAAAUCAACCAAGUGACAAGCCUGUGAUUGAUGUGAAAUAUGUUUACAAAGUGAAGCUCAACCUAGGUGGUUAUGUGCAGAAGAACAAGGCCAAAUUGAUAGCUAAAGGCUACUCAUAGAAGCCUGGUGUAGACUUCAAUGAAACAUUUGCUCCAGUAGUAAGGUUAGACACCAUAAGGACCUUGAUAGCCCUAGCAACCAAGAAGGGUUGAAAGCUGCAUCAAUUGGAUGUCAAAUCUGCAUUUCUAAAUUGAGUGCUAGAGUAGGAGGUGUUUGUGGAACAACCUCAAGGUUUCACAAGUCAAGAGUUUCCAGAGAAGGUGUACAAACUAAAGAAGGCUCUCUAUGGCCUAAAGCAAGCUUCAAAAGCUUACAGUGAGAUUGAUUCCUAUUUCACUAAGAAAGGAUUUCAGAAAAGUCCUAGUGAAGUUACACUCUACACCAAGACAGAAAGCAACAACAAGACACUCAUUGUCUCAAUCUAUGUGGAUGAUGUUGUCUACACUGGAAAUGAUGCUGCAAUGAUUGAAGAGUUCAAGGAAGAGAUGAUGAUGAGGUAUGAAAUGACUGACCUAGGCCUCUUGCAUCAUUUUCUUGGCAUUGGGGUAAUUCAAUAAGCAAGUAGCAUCUUCAUUCAUCAAAUGAAGUAUGUUGAAACUUUGCUUGAAAAGUUUGGAUUGAAAGGAUGCAAAUUGGUCUCUACACCCUUAAUUGCAAAUGAGAAGCUUAAGAAGGAUGGAAGUGAACCUGCAAAUGCUAGUCUUUACAAAAGCAUUGUUAGCAGUCUAUUGUACCUAACUGCAACAAGGCUGGAUCUAAUGUUCUCAGCAAGCCUACUUUAUAGGUUUAUGCAGAAUCCUAGCAAGAUACACAUGGGGACAGCAAAGAGAGUUCUAAGAUAUAUGCAAGGAACACUAGAUUAUGGGAAGUAUGAAAUGAGGAAGUCAACUAUCUUAAUUGGAUUUUGUGACAGUGACUAGGGUGGCAGUGAAGAUGAUAGCAGAAGCACUUCGGGCUAUACUUUCAGUUUUGGUUCAGGGGUUUUCUCGUGGGCCUCUAUGAAGCAACAAAGUGUUGCAUUGUCCACAGCCAAGGCAAAGUAUGUGAGUGCAUCAGAAGUUACAGCUCAAGCUAUUUGGCUAAGAUUCAUACUUAAAAACUUUGGGGAAUUGCAGGUUCAUGCCACACCAGUUCUGUGUGACAACACCUCCGCAAUCGCCAUGACCAAAAUUUCAAUAUUUCAUCAGAGAACAAAGCACAUCAAAAGAAGAUAUCAUUUCAUCAGAAAGGCAUUGCAGGACAACACAAUCAAGCUAAUCUAUUGCAGCACAGAAGAUUAGAUCGCAGACAUUUUCACAAAAGAGAUUCAAUUACCUGAGAGGAUUGCUUGGCAUGACUCCCAGAAGCAGUUUAGAAGGGAGUGUUGGAAGCUAAACAACUCUUGGAGUCGAGGGAUCGAAGGCAGCAAGGAGCUCCCGAGCAUGGUUGCUAUCCGCAUUGAAGAAGAAAGAAGAAAUGAAGGGUUAAAGCCUUCAACGGCUAGUUUUUGUUUAAAUGUUUGUGUGAGUGUGUGAGUGACAAGUGUACACUCCAGAUUAGAUCAUUUAAAACCCAAAAUGAAGGGCUAGGAUUUAAUCUGGAGUAUUAAGGCUAAAAUAGUUGUUUAGGUCUCUUGUCAAUCACUCUCUAAAACAAGUAUGGGUCAUGGCAAUGCACCAUACCCUACUACAAUUUCCCUUACUUAAUGAAAUCAGUGCUGCUGCAUUUGGCACAGCCUUGAAGCCCUAAAACACACUCCAAAAAGUCUUCUCCAUUCUCUGCCAUUUUUAACCCUAAGAAACUAAUCCAAACAAAACAACCAAAAACACCAUAAACAAACAAACUUUAUCACUCAUAUCGUUGCUGCCGGAUUUGGUUUCAACAACUGCUUCGUAAAAUUUGGCCACGCCCUCAUCAAGCACCUCCAAUGUUAGUAGUUGACGGAAAUAACCACACCUGAGCUCCUCCAAAGCAGCAACAACUCUCACGAUAUGCAGUUUGGCAUUCGUUUCCUUGUUAAACUCAUUCACGGCGAAACAGGCAGGAGUCACAUUCACGGGAUGAUACACAGGAUAAAGAGAAGGAUGGGGACGAGGAGGGUAGACACCGUAAGUUGGCGGGUUCUGUAACAAAACUCCGUAGUGUUACAACCACACACAAAGUGCCGAAAGAGAGAAGAAAAAAAAUGGUAGUACCUCGCCGGCGCGGGCGGAGACAUAUUCAGUACUUGCAAUUCUAGAAUCUGUAACAAAGUUUGGAACUGCUCUUGGAAAACAUAAUGAUCUAGUUUUCCCCAUAUUUCCAGCAACCAGAACUAAGGGGGGCGUAAUAUUUGUUGCCCUAAUAAUAUUCAUGUCUCUGGUAUACGAUAUACUACAUACAAGAUUUCUUUUUGGGUGAAACAGCGGGGAGGGGGAUAUACAUAUUAGAUUUUGGCCCAUCGUCACCAUCGUCGUCAUCGUAUUAAUAAUAUGAUAGUUGAAGAAAUCAACCAAACAAACCGAAUCGGUUAAACUCUAAACCCCGAAAGAAUCCUACUCAAUUUUUUGGAUUAACAAACCAAGCAAACGCACACUACAAAUAACGAUUAAAAAUCACCCAACUAAAUCGGUGAAUUAAAAUUACAAACUCAUCCAGAGAGACGACGAGAUCCUAAACUGCUUUGAAAUUUUCUCCCUAUUUCUUCGAGCAGUCGUGUCGUCUGCACUGUUUUGCUUGCUAUAUAUCCAUCUUUUGUGGCUUGUUUUUGCAUUUAAAAGCAAGGUAUAAAAUAUCGAUGAUAUCGGAAAUAUCGAUAGUUCAAAAACACGGAAAUUUCGAUAGAAAUAUCGGGAUAUUAUCGAUAUCGAUAAAAAUUGAAUAAAAACUACGGAAAUUGUAAGAAAAACUUGGAAAUUUUUAUUGAAACUUUGCAGAAUAUUUAUUUAGUGAAUUAUCUAUUAGUUUAUCACAAAAAAAAUGGAAGGAAAUGCAUUUCAAGAUGGAUUUAACUGAUUUAAGUUGAUUAUAUAACGAGUUGGCAAACAUUGUGAGUGUAGAAAAUAUGUAGUAAUUAAUGAAAGAAGUUUAAACACACCAUAAUCAUUUAUAUAUAAUGAAUUAGUACAACAUUUUACACUUCAUACAUUGCAUGGUAAGAUACAUGAGUGACUUAGUACCGCAUAGAGUUCCUAUCAAGGUCUAAAAUAUCGAUGAUAUUGGAAAUAUCGGUACUCCAAAAACACGGAAAUUUUGAUGAAAAUAUCAGGAUAAUAUCGAUAUUUUAGACCUUGUUUAGAAGUAUUG